RNAcentral lists this ribosomal RNA (333 nucleotides) under uncultured Anoxybacillus sp. Its description in RNAcentral is "bacterial SSU rRNA". It matches the Rfam family "Bacterial small subunit ribosomal RNA", at positions 1049 to 1382 of the family's 1533-position model. The record is from RNAcentral. Lineage: Bacteria; Bacillati; Bacillota; Bacilli; Caryophanales; Anoxybacillaceae.
UUGUCGCCAGCUCGUGUCGUGAGAUGUUGGGUUAAGUCCCGCAACGAGCCGCAACCCUCGACCUUAGUUGCCAGCAUUCAGUUGGGCACUCUAAGGUGACUGCCGGCUAAAAGUCGGAGGAAGGUGGGGAUGACGUCAAAUCAUCAUGCCCCUUAUGACCUGGGCUACACACGUGCUACAAUGGGCGGUACAAAGGGUCGCGAACCCGCGAGGGGGAGCCAAUCCCAAAAAGCCGCUCUCAGUUCGGAUUGCAGGCUGCAACUCGCCUGCAUGAAGCCGGAAUCGCUAGUAAUCGCGGAUCAGCAUGCCGCGGUGAAUACGUUCCCGGGCCUU